CAGUCGCCGCGGGAAUACGUAGGGUGCGAGCGUUGUCCGGAUUUAUUGGGCGUAAAGGGCUCGUAGGUGGUUGAUCGCGUCGGAAGUGUAAUCUUGGGGCUUAACCCUGAGCGUGCUUUCGAUACGGGUUGACUUGAGGAAGGUAGGGGGGAAUGGAAUUCCUGGUGGAGCGGUGGAAUGCGCAGAUAUCAGGAGGAACACCAGUGGCGAAGGCGGUUCUCUGGGCCUUUCCUGACGCUGAGGAGCGAAAGCGUGGGGAGCGAACAGGCUUAGAUACCCCCGUAGUCCCUGUCUCUUAUAC
RNAcentral lists this ribosomal RNA (301 nucleotides) under uncultured bacterium. Its description in RNAcentral is "partial 16S ribosomal RNA". It matches the Rfam family "Bacterial small subunit ribosomal RNA", at positions 509 to 807 of the family's 1533-position model. The record is from RNAcentral.